CCGGCGCACGGGUGAGUAACGCGUAUCCAACCUUCCCAUUACUGUGGGAUAACCUGCCGAAAGGCAGACUAAUACCACAUAGUCUUCGAUGACGGCAUCAGAUUUGAAGUAAAGAUUUAUCGGUAAUGGAUGGGGAUGCGUCUGAUUAGCUUGUUGGUGGGGUAACGGCCCACCAAGGCGACGAUCAGUAGGGGUUCUGAGAGGAAGGUCCCCCACAUUUGAACUGAGACACGGUCCAAACUCCUACGGGAGGCAGCAGCA
RNAcentral lists this ribosomal RNA (261 nucleotides) under uncultured Prevotella sp. RNAcentral's name for it is "partial 16S ribosomal RNA". It matches the Rfam family "Bacterial small subunit ribosomal RNA", at positions 95 to 355 of the family's 1533-position model. Lineage: Bacteria; Pseudomonadati; Bacteroidota; Bacteroidia; Bacteroidales; Prevotellaceae. The record is from RNAcentral.